Long non-coding RNA from Limulus polyphemus (Atlantic horseshoe crab), 1812 nucleotides. RefSeq lists it as uncharacterized. Lineage: Eukaryota; Metazoa; Arthropoda; Merostomata; Xiphosura; Limulidae. The record is from RefSeq and is a predicted model, not a curated record. The transcript is spliced from 2 exons.
UUCGUUGGUAAAAAAGUAGCCAAAGAGUUGGCGGUUGGUGGUAAUGACUAGCUGCCUUCCCUCUAGUCUUACAUAACUAAAUUAUGGACGGCUAGCGCAGAUAGCCCUCGUGUAGCUGACAAGUAAAUGUUAGAUAUAUUGAAGUUGACUAGUAAAAGUUAGUCAGAUGUAUUGAAGUUGACUAGUAAAAGUUAGUCAGAUGUAUUGAAGUUGACUAGUAAAAGUUAGUCAGAUAUAUCGAAGUUGACUAGUAAAAGUUAGUCAGAUAUAUCGAAGUUGACUAGUAAAAGUUAGUCAGAUAUAUCGAAGUUGACUAGUAAAAGUUAGUCAGAUAUAUCGAAGUUGACAAGUAAAAGUUAGUCAGAUAUAUCGAAGUUGACUAGUAAAAGUUAGUCAGAUACAUUGAAGUUGACCAGUAAAAGUUAGUCAGAUGUAUCGAAGUUGACUAGUAAAAGUUAGUCAGAUAUAUUGAAGUUGACUAGUAAAAGCUAGUCAGAUGUAUUGAAGUUGACUAGUAAAAGUUAGUCAGAUAUAUCGAAGUUGACUAGUAAAAGUUAGUCAGAUAUAUCGAAGUUGACCGGUAAAAGUCGUAGUGAAAAUAAAGAUAUUUAUUUAACGUAGUCCAAAACCUACCGAUUCUUAUAGAAAUAGGAUUAUUUUACGUGUUACUCUUCACGAAAACAUGGACAUUAAAGAUUAACUAAUAGAAACCUUGUCAUACCGUACUUCAAAAAAUGUCAGCACCACAUCAGUAAUGAAACCAAAAGAUAAAGACAAAAAAAAAAUGCCCCCCUCUUUUAUUAUUCUGAUCUGCCCGUUACUUUUAUUCAGCCAGUUUAUUUAUGAAGUAAUAUUUUAGAACGUCUGGUUUUUAUUUGAACUGUUUUUUAACUCAUUAUCUGGAAUUAUUGCUAAUAAUAGAAUUUUGGUUUUCACGUAUUUUGGACAAACCGUAGGAGAUGUAUCAAUGUUAAUUAAAACAGUUAUAUUUUUGUUAAUUAAAACAACUUGUAAGCCAAUAGAAUACGUCAUGUCUCGUGGGUUGGCACAUACUAUUUUAGUCAGAGAAUGUUUCGAAUCAUUGCGAGUGGAUGAAUAAAGUAAUUUAUUAGGAGGGAACUAUGCCUAGUAGAAGUAGAGCGUUUAUUACGAGGUUCGUUGCAAUAUUGAAAUGGGGGUGGAGACAAAUUAACAUUGAUGGGAAAAUUAUAACCGAUUAACUGUUGUAUUAAAAUUGUUUGAAUCGGUUGUUUUUAGUUGCUUUCUGAUUUACUUGUUUAAAGACAAAAUGUGCGGAAAUCAGAACAUUUUCUUGUGUCACAGCUGCAGGUCUGAGGGUUUAUAAUCUAAAAAUUGGGUAUCAAUACUUGUGUUGGGCACGAAGUGUGUAGCUUUGUGCGUAACAACAAACAAAUCCUUUAGACUGUAAGCAGAAAACAACAUUAAUGUCUUGACAUGAGCUGUUUCAUUGACAGGACCGAAAGCCACGGACACGAGGCUGAGAAAGGUAUUGUUCAUUUGAGGCAUUAUGGGAUAUAUUUUAAAUUAUUCCUUGCAGUUUUAAACAUUUUGAUGUGUUAAGAGUCCGUUAUACAGGAAAAUAGGAGUAGUUGAAUAACGGUCUUGUAAUUGUUUAAUCCAGUGUUUUCCAAAGUUUGGGGCGUGGCCUUUUGGAACAGAAGGAACAGAAAAGUUGGAAACGACAAUAACCUAACAUAACUAUUUCUUUCCCCUCUUUUUUUUUUGAUCUCCCAUUUGCUAUUUCCCUACAAUCAUUUUAUCAGUUAAACAUUUAUAUAAAAAAAAAACAGG